RNAcentral lists this non-coding RNA (24 nucleotides) under Cricetulus griseus (Chinese hamster). Lineage: Eukaryota; Metazoa; Chordata; Mammalia; Rodentia; Cricetidae. The record is from RNAcentral.
GUAGACCAGGCUGAUCUCAAACAG